Molecule: ribosomal RNA, 666 nt
Filed under: Triticum aestivum (bread wheat)
Lineage: Eukaryota; Viridiplantae; Streptophyta; Magnoliopsida; Poales; Poaceae
Description: partial small subunit ribosomal RNA
Source: RNAcentral
AUGUCUACUGUCUUGGUUCCGGCCGUUUUCAAUUGGAGCAGGCAAAAUCCAGAAAAAAAUGCAGCGGACUUUCCCCUUGUCGACUUCUUCGGGAGCAGCUCGACUAGCGUUGCACCAGCACCUGCACCUGCUCCCGCAUCGGCUCCCGUACCUGCUCCGGCACCGGCUCCCGCACCUGCUCCGGCACCGGACGUGCUCGGCGGUGCUUCAUCUUUGGCUGAGCUCGACGCCCUCACGGCCGACGUAACCCCGUGCACCAUAUUGUACACCAUCGGCGACCAGAAGGUGGACGUGGGGAAGGCAACGAUAAUGAUGCCGAAAGAACCAUUGUUCCACGGCCGGCCGAUCCCCCAGGACGUCUUCAAGGUUUCCAUGGCCAGUGUCAAACCGGGCCACGAGAAUUUGGCUCCUCUAGUACUAGGGGGGAUGAUGACGAGACCCCAUGGCGGCUUGGUGAUUGCAAUGGGUGGGUCCUGUUGUGGCCAAAGAGUCUGCUUCGUCUGGAGGCGGCAGGGAGCACACAGCACGCAGGCAAGGUGUAUAGAUCAUCGAUGGCGAAGAAGUGCUAUGCCUGGAGUAUACAACGAGUGGCCGGAAUGUCUGGCCCAGGUGUACCGGUUUCCGGUUUUCGAGCGACAGCCAGUAGUUAGUUUAGGUUCACGCUAA